AUGGGUUCUACCUAUGGGCCUUGUUGGGCUGGGUUAGAUUUCAUGGAAAUCAUGUCAACUGUAUUUAUCAUGCAUAAGUUUAUGACUCUUUUCUUGGAAAAAUGGAUAUGUAAAAAAUAUGCCAUUAUGCAGCAGUGAUGGACAUAGUCUAUAGAGCCAUAGAGGCAAAGGUAGAAUCCUGUCAUGUUUCUUCCAUCACAUCUUAAG
Long non-coding RNA from Arabidopsis thaliana (thale cress), 207 nucleotides. RefSeq annotates it as other RNA. The record is from RefSeq. The transcript has a single exon. NCBI's taxonomy places the organism in Eukaryota, Viridiplantae, Streptophyta, Magnoliopsida, Brassicales, Brassicaceae.